GACGAACGCUGGCGGCGUGCCUAAUACAUGCAAGUUGAGCGCUGAAGGUUGGUACUUGUACCAACUGGAUGAGCAGCGAACGGGUGAGUAACGCGUGGGGAAUCUGCCUUUGAGCGGGGGACAACAUUUGGAAACGAAUGCUAAUACCGCAUAAAAACUUUAAACACAAGUUUUAAGUUUGAAAGAUGCAAUUGCAUCACUCAAAGAUGAUCCCGCGUUGUAUUAGCUAGUUGGUGAGGUAGAGGCUCACCAAGGCGAUGAUACAUAGCCGACCUGAGAGGGUGAUCGGCCACAUUGGGAAUGAGACACGGCCCAAACUCCUACGGGAGGCAGCAGUAGGGAAUCUUCGGCAAUGGACGAAAGGCUGACCGAGCAACGCCGCGGGAGUGAAGAAGGUUUUCGGAUCGGAAAACUCUGUUGGUAGAGAAGAACGUUGGUGAGAGUGGAAAGCUCAUCAAGUGACGGUAACUACCCAGAAAGGGACGGCUAACUACGUG
This 497-nucleotide ribosomal RNA is filed under the name uncultured bacterium. RNAcentral describes it as "partial 16S ribosomal RNA". It matches the Rfam family "Bacterial small subunit ribosomal RNA", at positions 28 to 507 of the family's 1533-position model. The record is from RNAcentral.